GCCAUCAUACACAACAUUCUCAUCACAAGUCAUACACAAUUCCAGCACACUAGUUCUUCCACAACAGAGGUUCAAACAUACAAAGGUUCCACCACAAAGGUUUGAAGCAUUCAAACAGAGUGCACAUAGUUCUGACAAAGUUCUAACCAUAGAUAGAAAAACCUUAAGCAAAGGCAUCAUCCUCAGACUUGGUAUGCAUCCCUACCUCAAUCUUUCUGAAGUUUCAGGACAGCUCGUAGCAGUGCAUUGGUCUCUUCAAACUUGGUAUGCAUCCCCUUCACUUCCUCUUGGGCCUGGCGCAACAAACUUUGGUUUUCUUCAAGUGCGGCCUGUUGAGCUUGUAGUUGUGCUUGCAACUCUUCCUGCUUCCUAGCAGCUUCCUCUCUUUCAGCUUUGUGCAGAGGGAGAUUGCCAGGUCGCUGACUCCCUAAACGUUCUGCACACCAAUUUUCAGGCGGUGAGUAGGCAUCUCCUGACUGAAGGCCAAUACUCUGAAGUUCAUUUGAUUCACCAUCAUAUAGUUC
This 524-nucleotide unclassified non-coding RNA is filed under the name Zea mays. RNAcentral's name for it is "misc RNA Zm00001eb090680". Lineage: Eukaryota; Viridiplantae; Streptophyta; Magnoliopsida; Poales; Poaceae. The record is from RNAcentral.